RNAcentral lists this ribosomal RNA (402 nucleotides) under uncultured prokaryote. RNAcentral's name for it is "bacterial SSU rRNA". It matches the Rfam family "Bacterial small subunit ribosomal RNA", at positions 355 to 774 of the family's 1533-position model. The record is from RNAcentral.
UAACGAAUCUUCCCCAAUGCACGAAAGUGUGAGGGAGCGACGCCGCGUGGAGGAUGAAGUCCUUCGGGAUGUAAACUCCUGUCAGGGGUUACCAAGUUCUGAGGAGCCCCAGAGGAAGGCACGGCUAACUCUGUGCCAGCAGCCGCGGUAAGACAGAGGUGCCAAGCGUUAGGCGGAAUCACUGGGCUUAAAGCGUGUGUAGGCGGACUUUUAAGUGUCUUGUGAAAUCCCACGGCUUAACCGUGGAACUGCUUGACAUACUGGGAGUCUUGAGCUGCCUAGGGGUCGCUGGAACAAACGGUGGAGCGGUGAAAUGCGUAGAUAUCUAAGGGAACGCCAGGGGCGAAAGCGGGUAACUGGGCUUGUCCUGACGCUGAGACGCGAAAGCGUGGGGAGCAAACA